AGUGAACGCUGGCGGUAGGCCUAACACAUGCAAGUCGAACGGCAGCACAGUAAGAGCUUGCUCUUACGGGUGGCGAGUGGCGGACGGGUGAGGUAUACAUCGGAAUCUACUUUUUCGUGGGGGAUAAUGUAGGGAAACUUACGCUAAUACCGCAUACGACCUACGGGUGAAAGCAGGGGAUCUUCGGACCUUGCGCGAUUGAAUGAGCCGAUGUCGGAUUAGCUAGUUGGCGGGGUAAAGGCCCACCUAGGCGACGAUCCGUAGCUGGUCUGAGAGGAUGAUCAGCCACACUGGAACUGAGACACGGUCCAGACUCCUACGGGAGGCGGCAGUGGGGAAUAUUGGACAAUGGGCGCAAGCCUGAUCCAGCCAUACCGCGUGGGUGAAGAAGGCCUUCGGGUUGUAAAGCCCUUUUGUUGGGAAAGAAAAGCAGCAGGUUAAUACCCCGCUGUUCUGACGGUACCCAAAGAAUAAGCACCGGCUAACUUCGUG
RNAcentral lists this ribosomal RNA (492 nucleotides) under uncultured bacterium. RNAcentral's name for it is "partial 16S ribosomal RNA". It matches the Rfam family "Bacterial small subunit ribosomal RNA", at positions 29 to 507 of the family's 1533-position model. The record is from RNAcentral.